UCAACUUUAAUCAUGCAUCUAGGGGAUAUUGUCUUGUGAUUAUAGCCUUUGAUUAGCUCAUAUGCCAUAAUAACAUUAUCAAGAAUGUUUCUCCCCUCUAUGAAGGCUAAUUGGGACUGACCAACUAAAUAAUUGACAACCAGUUUUAGCUAAUUUGUUAGGAUCUUAUAGAUGAUUUUAUACAGAGUUGAACAUCAGGCAAUGGGUCGAUAUUCUUUGACAUAGCUGGGAUUUUGCACUUUUGGAAUCA
This 250-nucleotide long non-coding RNA is filed under the name Nicotiana benthamiana. RNAcentral describes it as "long non-coding RNA (NBEN_LNC033077)". Lineage: Eukaryota; Viridiplantae; Streptophyta; Magnoliopsida; Solanales; Solanaceae. The record is from RNAcentral.